RNAcentral lists this ribosomal RNA (497 nucleotides) under uncultured bacterium. Its description in RNAcentral is "partial 16S ribosomal RNA". It matches the Rfam family "Bacterial small subunit ribosomal RNA", at positions 28 to 507 of the family's 1533-position model. The record is from RNAcentral.
GAUGAACGCUGGCGGCGUGCCUAAUACAUGCAAGUCGAGCGAACAGACGAGGAGCUUGCUCCUCUGACGUUAGCGGCGGACGGGUGAGUAACACGUGGAUAACCUACCUAUAAGACUGGGAUAACUUCGGGAAACCGGAGCUAAUACCGGAUAAUAUAUUGAACCGCAUGGUUCAAUAGUGAAAGACGGUUUUGCUGUCACUUAUAGAUGGAUCCGCGCCGCAUUAGCUAGUUGGUAAGGUAACGGCUUACCAAGGCAACGAUGCGUAGCCGACCUGAGAGGGUGUUCGGCCACACUAGAACUGAGACACGGUCCAGACUCCUACGGGAGGCAGCAGUAGGGAAUCUUCCGCAAUGGGCGAAAGCCUGACGGAGCAACGCCGCGUGAGUGAUGAAGGUCUUCGGAUCGUAAAACUCUGUUAUUAGGGAAGAACAAAUGUGUAAGUAACUAUGCACGUCUUGACGGUACCUAAUCAGAAAGCCACGGCUAACUACGUG